Molecule: ribosomal RNA, 26 nt
Filed under: Omphalina pyxidata var. cystidiata
Lineage: Eukaryota; Fungi; Basidiomycota; Agaricomycetes; Agaricales; Omphalinaceae
Description: partial 18S ribosomal RNA
Source: RNAcentral
UAGGAUGAACCUGCGGAAGGAUCAUU